This is a non-coding RNA of Cinara cedri, 890 nucleotides long. NCBI's taxonomy places the organism in Eukaryota, Metazoa, Arthropoda, Insecta, Hemiptera, Aphididae. The record is from the annotation of a GenBank genome assembly.
AUACUCAGAAUCUAAAAAAGUAUUAAUGUACUAUUACAUAUUAUCUACACAUUUUAUUGGUUUUUUUUAAAUUACAUUUUAUAUUACGUAAAAAUAUAUUUAUCGAUGUUUGUUUUUUUGCUUCAAAUAACUUGAUGACCAUACCUUCAUAAAAGUAAUGCUACACAGCUUUUUUUCUCUACACUUCUACAUCUGCACUGCUCUCAUGAGGACACACACCAAAGUUUCCUUAAUUUCUUUAUUUGAUGUAAAUCUCACGUUGUUCUCAUAUUCUACGUCAUCAGUGUCAACUUGUUGAUGUGUUUGAGAAUUCAAUAAGUACUACAUUUCAGGUCUUCUCUUUUUUUUCAAAUAACCGACGCGUGACGUGUUGUUUUAAUAAUCCGAUUGAAUUUCCCGUCUCAAGAUUUUUUGUUUCAAUAACAUGAUUGUAUUGAUUUUCCGUUGUCCUAAUAAGUGAUUUCCACAGUAUGUUUUUUUUUUUUUUUUAAAGGGCAAACUUUUACAGUUCAUAAAAAAGCUCUGAUUUUUUCAUGGCGUAUCUAAAAAAUGGGAGAAUUUCUAGCCCGUAGUUUUUGUGUAAAACAAUUUACCGAAAUUUUAAAUAGUGCAUCGCCCUAGGUAUUUUUGGGGGUUUUGUUUUCUUGAUUUCCACAGUUUACCUCGACCACAAGGGUAAAAACCCGGCAAGUACUAAUCCGGUUACACAAUCAUUUUUUGUUUGCAAUGAUUAACAUUGUACCUACUCCCAAUUCUCGUCACUAAAUAUGCCAGCUUUUUUCUUCUCGAAUAUAAUAAAUUAUUUACCUUCUGGAAAAUUGUGUUACCUAUACUAAAAUAGGUAUAUAAGAAUUUAUUUAUAAAUUAAACUUGUAAUUAUAUCGAUUUUA